RNAcentral lists this ribosomal RNA (493 nucleotides) under uncultured bacterium. RNAcentral describes it as "partial 16S ribosomal RNA". It matches the Rfam family "Bacterial small subunit ribosomal RNA", at positions 29 to 523 of the family's 1533-position model. The record is from RNAcentral.
AUUGAACGCUGGCGGCAUGCUUUACACAUGCAAGUCGAACGGUAACAGGUUAAGCUGACGAGUGGCGAACGGGUGAGUAAUGCAUCGGAACGUGCCCGAUCGUGGGGGAUAACGCAGCGAAAGCUGCGCUAAUACCGCAUACGAUCUGAGGAUGAAAGCGGGGGACCGUAAGGCCUCGCGCGAUCGGAGCGGCCGAUGUCAGAUUAGGUAGUUGGGGGGGUAAAGGCCUACCAAGGCGACGAUCAGUAGCUGGUCUGAGAGGACGAUCAGCCACACUGGGACUGAGACACGGCCCAGACUCCUACGGGAGGCAGCAGUGGGGAAUUUUGGACAAUGGGCGAAAGCCUGAUCCAGCAAUGCCGCGUGUGUGAAGAAGGCCUUCGGGUUGUAAAGCACUUUUGUCCGGAAAGAAAUGGCUCUGGUUAGUACCUGGGGUCGAUGACGGUACCGGAAGAAUAAGGACCGGCUAACUACGUGCCAGCCGCCGCCGUAA